Molecule: ribosomal RNA, 2911 nt
Filed under: Cyanobium sp. CZS_40E
Lineage: Bacteria; Bacillati; Cyanobacteriota; Cyanophyceae; Synechococcales; Prochlorococcaceae
Description: bacterial SSU rRNA
Rfam family: Bacterial small subunit ribosomal RNA (bases 1-1473)
Source: RNAcentral
UGAUCCUGGCUCAGGAUGAACGCUGGCGGCGUGCUUAACACAUGCAAGUCGAACGAACCUUCGGGUUAGUGGCGGACGGGUGAGUAACGCGUGAGAAUCUGCCCUCAGGAGGGGGAUAACGGCUGGAAACGGCCGCUAAUACCCCAUAUGCCGAGAGGUGAAAUGAAUUUCGCCUGAGGAUGAGCUCGCGUCUGAUUAGCUAGUUGGUGGGGUAAGAGCCUACCAAGGCUUCGAUCAGUAGCUGGUCUGAGAGGAUGAUCAGCCACACUGGGACUGAGACACGGCCCAGACUCCUACGGGAGGCAGCAGUGGGGAAUUUUCCGCAAUGGGCGAAAGCCUGACGGAGCAACGCCGCGUGAGGGAUGAAGGCCUCUGGGCUGUAAACCUCUUUUCUCAAGGAAGAAGAUCUGACGGUACUUGAGGAAUAAGCCACGGCUAAUUCCGUGCCAGCAGCCGCGGUAAUACGGGAGUGGCAAGCGUUAUCCGGAAUUAUUGGGCGUAAAGCGUCCGCAGGCGGCCUUGAAAGUCUGCUGUUAAAGCGUGGAGCUUAACUCCAUUUCAGCAGUGGAAACUACAAGGCUAGAGUGUGGUAGGGGCAGAGGGAAUUCCCGGUGUAGCGGUGAAAUGCGUAGAUAUCGGGAAGAACACCAGUGGCGAAGGCGCUCUGCUGGGCCAUAACUGACGCUCAUGGACGAAAGCCAGGGGAGCGAAAGGGAUUAGAUACCCCUGUAGUCCUGGCCGUAAACGAUGAACACUAGGUGUCGGGGGAAUCGACCCCUCCGGUGUCGUAGCCAACGCGUUAAGUGUUCCGCCUGGGGAGUACGCACGCAAGUGUGAAACUCAAAGGAAUUGACGGGGGCCCGCACAAGCGGUGGAGUAUGUGGUUUAAUUCGAUGCAACGCGAAGAACCUUACCAGGGUUUGACAUCCUGCGAAUCCCUUGGAAACGAGGGAGUGCCUUCGGGAGCGCAGUGACAGGUGGUGCAUGGCUGUCGUCAGCUCGUGUCGUGAGAUGUUGGGUUAAGUCCCGCAACGAGCGCAACCCACGUCUUUAGUUGCCAGCAUUGAGUUGGGCACUCUAGAGAGACCGCCGGUGAUAAACCGGAGGAAGGUGUGGAUGACGUCAAGUCAUCAUGCCCCUUACAUCCUGGGCUACACACGUACUACAAUGCUACGGACAAAGGGCAGCAAACUCGCGAGAGCUAGCAAAUCCCAUAAACCGUGGCUCAGUUCAGAUCGUAGGCUGCAACUCGCCUACGUGAAGGAGGAAUCGCUAGUAAUCGCAGGUCAGCAUACUGCGGUGAAUACGUUCCCGGGCCUUGUACACACCGCCCGUCACACCAUGGAAGUUGGCCACGCCCGAAGUCGUUACUCCAACCCGCAAGGGAGGAGGAUGCCGAAGGUGGGGCUGAUGACUGGGGUGAAGUCGUAACAAGGUAGCCGUACCGGAAGGUGCGGCUGGAUCACCUCCUAACAGGGAGACAAAACUGAUCGUGAUGUCUGAAUACUUUAUUUUCAGGCCAUGAUCCUGUCACUCUAGGUCGAUCGGUACCUCAACUGUGGAAGCGGAAUGGCAACAUGUCCGCCCAAACAGGUUCAGUUCCUAAACUUUGUCUAGGUCACACCCCAACGAUUUUUGUUGAGGACGUGUCGAAGCCUGAAAGAUAAAACGGUAGCAAUACUGGAUUGUCAAUCAGAUGAGACACAACUUUGACACGAUCGCGAGGUCGAACUCCUGGGCCAUUAGCUCAGGUGGUUAGAGCGCACCCCUGAUAAGGGUGAGGUCCCUGGUUCAAGUCCAGGAUGGCCCAUUCGUGUUUGGGGGUUUAGCUCAGUUGGUAGAGCGCCUGCUUUGCAAGCAGGAUGUCAGCGGUUCGAGUCCGCUAACCUCCAUUCCAAACUGAGGAGCGCCCUCACGGAACCAAAGGAGAGAUUUCUUUGGUGUGAUCUUGACGUCUUGGUGACGAUUCCAGCCUGCUUUCAUUCCCUGAGUGGUUGAAAGCAUGCUGGAUUCCUAGUCCGCAAGGAUAGGCGUUCAGCAAGAACCUUGACAACUGCAUAGGAAAAGUCUGGAAAAGAAAGCAUCUCAUAGACGCUGACUUUCCAGUUCUCUCUGCUCGCGGCCUCGGCUGCGGCAUUUUGGCGACAGCCAAAAAGAAAUUCAGGUGCAAGCCUGAAACUGUGAGAAGAACAGGGAAGCCAGUGAUUCUUGAGUUAGAGCCGAGUACAGCUCGUGUCUUCUGUCUGGCAUGGCCACAAGCCGCCAAGCAGGAGUUUGAUUCUGAUUGUCCAAGAUCUCUUGAUUGAGAGCUUAGACACCGGAAGAAUAGCCUUCAACAAGCUAAACGCGAGUUGUGAUUAUGGUCAAGCUACAAAGGGCUCACGGUGGAUACCUUGGCACACAGAGGCGAUGAAGGACGUGGUUACCUGCGAUAAGUCUCGGGGAGCUGGAAACACGCUUUGAUCCGGGAAUUUCCGAAUGGGGCAACCCCUAGAACGGCCGCCUGAAUCCAUAGGGCGGCGCGAGCCAACCCAGCGAACUGAAACAUCUUAGUAGCUGGAGGAAAGGAAAGUAAAAACGACUCCCUCAGUAGCGGCGAGCGAACGGGGAAGAGCCUAAACCGAUGGGUUCGCCCAUCGGGGUUGUGGGACAGCAACGUGGACCAGGGACGUUAGAGGAAGCGUUUGAAUGGCGCGCCAGAGAGGGUGAAAGCCCCGUACUCGAAAGCGAAACUGGCCUAGCUGUAUCCCGAGUAGCACGGAGCACGUGAAAUUCCGUGUGAAUCCGCGAGGACCACCUCGUAAGGCUAAGUACUCCUGUGUGACCGAUAGCGCAACAGUACCGCGAGGGAAAGGUGAAAAGAACCCCGGGAGGGGAGUGAAAUAGAACAUGAAACCGUGAGCUACAAGCA